GACGAACGCUGGCGGCGUGCCUAAUACAUGCAAGUCGAACGCAGUGGGGACGGGUGAGUAACACGUGGGUAACCUCCCAUCAGAGGGGAUAACACUUGGCAACAGGUGCUAAACCGAUACUGAUGGAUGGACCCGCUGUGCAUUAGCUAGUAGGUGAGGUAACGGCUCACCAAGGCCACGAUGCAUAGCCGGUCUGAGAGGGUGAUCGGCCACACUGGGACUGAGACACGGUCCAGACUCCUACGGGAGGCAGCAGUAGGGAAUAUUGGGCAAUGGACGAAAGCCUGAUCGAGCAACGCCGCGUGAGUGAAGAAGGUUUUCGGAUUGUAAAGCACUGUUGUUGGAGAAGCGGUAUCUAACCAGAAAGCAACGGCUAACUACGUGCCAGCCGCCGCGGUAAUAC
RNAcentral lists this ribosomal RNA (403 nucleotides) under uncultured bacterium. Its description in RNAcentral is "partial 16S ribosomal RNA". It matches the Rfam family "Bacterial small subunit ribosomal RNA", at positions 28 to 526 of the family's 1533-position model. The record is from RNAcentral.